GACGAACGCUGGCGGCGUGCUUAACGCAUGCAAGUCGAACGGAAAGGCCCUGCUUUUGUGGGGUGCUCGAGUGGCGAACGGGUGAGUAACACGUGAGUAACCUGCCCUUGACUUUGGGAUAACUUCAGGAAACUGGGGCUAAUACCGGAUAGGAGCUCCUGCUGCAUGGUGGGGGUUGGAAAGUUUCGGCGGUUGGGGAUGGACUCGCGGCUUAUCAGCUUGUUGGUGGGGUAGUGGCUUACCAAGGCUUUGACGGGUAGCCGGCCUGAGAGGUUGACCGGCCACAUUGGGACUGAGAUACGGCCCAGACUCCUACGGGAGGCAGCAGUGGGGAAUAUUGCACAAUGGGCGGAAGCCUGAUGCAGCAACGCCGCGUGCGGGAUGACGGCCUUCGGGUUGUAAACCGCUUUCGCCUGUGACGAAGCGUGAGUGACGGUAAUGGGUAAAGAAGCACCGGCUAACUACGUG
Molecule: ribosomal RNA, 468 nt
Filed under: uncultured bacterium
Lineage: Bacteria
Description: partial 16S ribosomal RNA
Rfam family: Bacterial small subunit ribosomal RNA
Source: RNAcentral